UACGAAGGGGGCUAGCGUUGCUCGGAUUGACUGGGCGUAAAGGGCGCGUAGGCGGUUCGUACAGUCAGACGUGAAAUUCCUGGGCUCAACCUGGGGGCUGCGUUUGAUACGUGCGGACUUGAGUGCGGAAGAGGGUCGUGGAAUUCCCAGUGUAGAGGUGGAAUUCGUAGAUAUUGGGAAGAACACCGGUGGCGAAGGCGGCGACCUGGUCCGAUACUGACGCUGAGGCGCGAAAGCGUGGGGAGCAAACAGG
RNAcentral lists this ribosomal RNA (253 nucleotides) under uncultured bacterium. RNAcentral describes it as "partial 16S ribosomal RNA". It matches the Rfam family "Bacterial small subunit ribosomal RNA", at positions 524 to 776 of the family's 1533-position model. The record is from RNAcentral.